CGCGGCGCAUUAGCUAGUUGGUGAGGUAACGGCUCACCAAGGCGACGAUGCGUAGCCGACCUGAGAGGGUGAUCGGCCACAUUGGAACUGAGACACGGUCCAGACUCCUACGGGAGGCAGCAGUGGGGAAUAUUGCGCAAUGGGGGAAACCCUGACGCAGCAACGCCGCGUGAAUGAUGAAGGCCUUCGGGUUGUAAAGUUCUGUCUUCUGGGACGAUAAUGACGGUACCAGAGGAGGAAGCCACGGCUAACUACGUGCCAGCAGCCGCGGUAAUACGUAGGUGGCAAGCGUUGUCCGGAUUUACUGGGCGUAAAGGAUGCGUAGGCGGACAUUUAAGUCAGAUGUGAAAUACCCGAGCUUAACUUGGGUGCUGCAUUUGAAACUGGGUGUCUAGAGUGCAGGAGAGGUAAGUGGAAUUCCUAGUGUAGCGGUGAAAUGCGUAGAGAUUAGGAAGAACACCAGUGGCGAAGGCGACUUACUGGACUGUAACUGACGCUGAGGCAUGAAAGCGUGGGGAGCAAACAGGAUUAGAUACCCUGGUAGUCCGCGCCGUAAACGAUGAAUACUAGGUGUCGGGGGUCGAACCUCGGUGCCGCAG
RNAcentral lists this ribosomal RNA (599 nucleotides) under uncultured bacterium. RNAcentral's name for it is "bacterial SSU rRNA". It matches the Rfam family "Bacterial small subunit ribosomal RNA", at positions 232 to 851 of the family's 1533-position model. The record is from RNAcentral.